GUCAAGUUUGGCAUGUGAUACCUUUUCGGAAGGCCUAAAGAGAGCCUUACGACGAAAGAAGCAGGACCAUGGAACAUUUCCAUUGACUUUUUGUCGAGCCCAAAUUUUGACCUUUAAGUACUUUUUCGGGCAUUUUCGUGAUUUGGGCUAUAUUACGGACCUAAAAUUACUUGUUCAAGCAUUGAUUUAGAAUUUUUUCAUGCAUCAAAGCUCGUUAAGACUUAAUGGGGUAUUCCUACAUAGCGGGUGGGACCCACGGUGAAUGGUUCAUCAAGUCUUCAAAAAAGAAUAUAUACGAUUGCAUUGCAUAUACUAAUGGAUGCGAUCAUACCAGCUCUAAUGCACCGGAUCCCAUCAGAACUCCGCAGUUAAGCGUGCUUGGGUGAGAGUAGUACUAGGAUGGGUGACCUCCCGGGAAGUCCUCGUGUUGCAUCCCUUUUUUUUUUUUUAAUUUGUUUUUUUUUGGUUAAAACUUUAUGACUCCAUAACUUAUACACAG
RNAcentral lists this ribosomal RNA (499 nucleotides) under Arabidopsis thaliana (thale cress). The record is from RNAcentral. Lineage: Eukaryota; Viridiplantae; Streptophyta; Magnoliopsida; Brassicales; Brassicaceae.